AUGAGCCGUCGGAUCUCCUAGUAAGGAGGCCGGGCCGUCAGAUCCGGUGACCCCGGUCUCCUCACCGGCGGAUCCGGUGCCAAGA
Molecule: microRNA precursor, 85 nt
Filed under: Oryza meridionalis
Lineage: Eukaryota; Viridiplantae; Streptophyta; Magnoliopsida; Poales; Poaceae
Description: pre miRNA MIR1846
Rfam family: MIR1846 microRNA precursor family
Source: RNAcentral